GAGAUCUCAAACAGAGAUCCUGAUGGCAAAGCCCAUGUUCUCACCUCCUGUACUCCACAUGCCGGCCACUGUGGUAAGUACCAGCAGGAAUGAGGCUUCCCGCCUUCAUGUAAGUGGAACCUAGUGAAGAGGGGAAACUUGAGAGAAAGGUGAAAGAAAUGAACAGACUAAGGAGAAGAAGCAGAAGCAUUUACCGGAAAGAAGUGCUCACAGAAAUAGCCCUCGUAAAGUUGAGUGACACCAGGAAGACAAUCAGAGGUGGUUUGUUGUGCAGGAACACCCACAAACAUUUUCAUUUGGUUCUGCACACCCAGACGCCUCGUGUCACACCGCAGCUCCGUCCAGAUGAUUCUAAUAAUAGCCCAGUGGAAUCCUGUGGUUGGAGGAGACUGAGAGAGGUCACUGAGUCUGUCUUCUGCCUGCAGAAGGGACAUCCAGCAAGAUUAUUUCUUAUGAAGCUUUCUCUUGAGGAGGUGAAAGAGGCCAAACCUGAAAGAUCCCUUUGGCCCUCCUGUAGCCUAAAGUGACAGCAGGUAGAGUGACCAGGUCUGGCUCUAGUCCCCCCUUGCUCUUCUAAGGGAUAUUUCUUUUCCUUUGUUGGAUCUUCUUCUGCUGGGCUUUGGGCUAGAGCUAAGCACCCCAGCUGGAGGCAGUGCCCCACCCCAAGAGCAGCUUAAGCAAAAAAUCAUGGAAAGCACCUGCUGGGGUAAAUGGCCCUCGCCAGCUUCAGUCUGUCUGAUGUGGUAGAGGCACAUGUAUAUCCCACACAGAUGCUCCCUGUUCCUUUCCUUCCCAAUAGUCUCUUUGCAAAUUUUUUCCCCAGCUGUUUUCAGGAAGCACAAAGCAAGAGUUUGUUCUUGUGUUGUUGGAGCCCCUCAGGUUUAACUCUGAAGCCCCCAUUGGGGCAGACCUCCCUUGGGCCCAUAUCAGGGAUGGGACUAGGGGGCUGGACAGAGAAUUUGGAACUAGUCUGAUCCUACAGGGGUCACAACCUGCAGCCCAAG
This 1004-nucleotide long non-coding RNA is filed under the name Mustela putorius furo (domestic ferret). RNAcentral describes it as "lncRNA (ENSMPUG00000029994.1)". The record is from RNAcentral. Lineage: Eukaryota; Metazoa; Chordata; Mammalia; Carnivora; Mustelidae.